RNAcentral lists this ribosomal RNA (253 nucleotides) under uncultured bacterium. Its description in RNAcentral is "partial 16S ribosomal RNA". It matches the Rfam family "Bacterial small subunit ribosomal RNA", at positions 524 to 776 of the family's 1533-position model. The record is from RNAcentral.
UACGUAGGUGACAAGCGUUAUCCGGAUUUACUGGGCGUAAAGGGAGCGUAGGCGGAUAAUUAAGUGGGAUGUGAAAUACCCGGGCUCAACCUGGGUGCUGCAUUCCAAACUGAUUAUCUAGAGUGCAGGAGAGGAGAGUGGAAUUCCUAGUGUAGCGGUGAAAUGCGUAGAGAUUAGGAAGAACACCAGUGGCGAAGGCGACUCUCUGGACUGUAACUGACGCUGAGGCACGAAGGCUAGGGGAGCAAACGGG